Molecule: non-coding RNA, 130 nt
Filed under: Desulfosporosinus meridiei
Lineage: Bacteria; Bacillati; Bacillota; Clostridia; Eubacteriales; Desulfitobacteriaceae
Description: MoCo sequence
Rfam family: Molybdenum/Tungsten riboswitch aptamer (Moco RNA motif)
Source: RNAcentral
AUAAUUUACUAUCUCCGAGCCGAACCACCUAAAGAGUAAAUUAUGGUAUUUCGGCCAGGGUUUUAGCCCUCGGGCAUGUCUGGAAACGGAUCUGCCUUCACUAUUGAAAAGGAGGUGGCGGGCCUGCAAA